GUGCUCACUUCAGCACAUACUAAAAUUGAAUGAUCAGAGAUUAGCAUGGCCCCUGUUCAUGCAAAUUCGUGACAUGCAAAUUUGUGAAGCGUUCCAUAUUUUU
This 103-nucleotide small nuclear RNA is filed under the name Octodon degus (degu). Lineage: Eukaryota; Metazoa; Chordata; Mammalia; Rodentia; Octodontidae. The record is from RNAcentral.